AGUGAAUAGAUACCCCGGUAGUCCACGCCGUAAACGAUGCACACUAGACGUUGGAGCCUCUGACGGAGCCGGCGUCGUAGCAAAAGUGCUAAGUGUGCCGCCUGGGGAGUACGGCCGCAAGGCUAAAACUCAAAGGAAUUGACGGGGGCUCACACAAGCGGUGGAGCAUGUGGCUUAAUUCGAAGCAACGCGAAGAACCUUACCCAGGUUUGACAUGCUUGGAUGCUCUCUGGGGAUAACUCAGGGUAGCUGCCCGCAAGGGUGAAACUUGCACAGGUGUUGCAUGGCUGUCGUCAGCUCGUGCUGUGAAGUGUCGGGUUAAGUCCUCUAACGAGCGAAACCCUUGUCGCUAGUUGCCAGCGGGUCAUGCCGGGGACUCUAACGAGACUGCCGGUGUUAAACCGGAGGAAGGUGGGGAUGACGUCAAGUCAUCAUGGCCUUUAUGCCUGGGGAUGCACACGUGCUACAAUGGCGUGAACAGAGCGAAGCGAAGCCGCGAGGUGAAGCAAAUCGCAAAAAGC
This 521-nucleotide ribosomal RNA is filed under the name uncultured bacterium. RNAcentral describes it as "bacterial SSU rRNA". It matches the Rfam family "Bacterial small subunit ribosomal RNA", at positions 773 to 1282 of the family's 1533-position model. The record is from RNAcentral.